RNAcentral lists this long non-coding RNA (1780 nucleotides) under Brassica napus (rape). RNAcentral's name for it is "long non-coding RNA (BNAP_LNC003827)". Lineage: Eukaryota; Viridiplantae; Streptophyta; Magnoliopsida; Brassicales; Brassicaceae. The record is from RNAcentral.
UGCUUAUGCACCUAAGAAACCUUACGGUGAGUGCCACAAACCGGCUCCUUACCAUCCUCCAUACUACUACAAAUCUCCACCACCACCGUCUCCGGUUUACUACUACAAGUCACCACCUCCACCAGCUCCUACUUACGUCUACAAGUCUCCACCACCACCAACUCCGACUUAUGUCUACAAAUCACCACCUCCACCAACCCCAACAUAUGUCUACAAAUCACCACCACCACCAACUCCGACUUACGUCUACAAGUCACCACCGCCGCCAACCCCGACCUAUGUUUACAAAUCACCACCGCCACCAACCCCGACUUAUGUCUAUAAAUCUCCACCACCACCAACCCCUACUUAUGUUUACAAGUCACCACCUCCACCAACUCCGACUUAUGUAUACAAGUCACCACCACCUCCAACCCCAACAUAUGUUUACAAAUCUCCACCACCACCAACUCCAACCUAUGUUUACAAAUCACCACCUCCUCCUACUCCGACCUAUGUCUACAAGUCACCGCCUCCUCCCACUCCAACGUAUGUUUACAAAUCACCACCCCCUCCAACGCACACUCCUACACCAUACUACUACCACUCUCCACCACCACCAGUAAAAUCUCCUCCACCUCCAUAUUAUUAUCACUCACCACCACCACCCAUCAAAUCCCCACCACCUCCAUACUACUACCAUUCUCCACCACCUCCGGUCAAGUCUCCUCCACCACCAUACUACUAUCAUUCACCACCUCCUCCGGUGAAAUCUCCUCCUCCUCCUUACUAUUACCAUUCUCCACCUCCUCCGGUGAAGUCUCCUCCUCCACCUUACUACUACCACUCUCCACCUCCUCCGGUGAAGUCUCCACCCCCUCCUUACUACUACCACUCCCCACCUCCUCCGGUGAAGUCUCCACCCCCACCUUACUACUACCACUCUCCACCUCCUCCGGUGAAAUCUCCUCCCCCUCCUUACUACUACCACUCCCCACCUCCUCCCGUGAAGUCGCCACCCCCUCCUUACUACUACCACUCCCCACCUCCUCCGGUGAAGUCUCCUCCUCCACCUUACUACUAUCACUCCCCACCUCCUCCGGUGAAAUCUCCACCACCACCAUACUACUACCACUCACCACCUCCUCCGGUGAAAUCUCCACCACCACCAUACUACUACCACUCACCACCUCCUCCGGUGAAAUCUCCACCACCACCAUACUACUACCACUCACCACCUCCUCCCGUCAAGUCUCCUCCUCCACCAUACUAUUACCACUCACCACCUCCACCCGUGAAAUCUCCUCCUCCACCAUACUACUACCACUCACCACCUCCACCCGUGAAAUCUCCUCCUCCACCAUACUACUACCACUCACCUCCCCCACCAGUGAAAUCACCUCCACCACCUUACUACUAUCACUCACCACCCCCACCUGUGAAGUCUCCUCCUCCACCAUACUAUUAUCACUCACCACCCCCUCCAGUCAAAUCUCCACCACCACCAUACUAUUAUCACUCACCACCCCCUCCAGUCAAAUCUCCACCACCACCAUACUACUACCAUUCACCACCUCCUCCGGUGAAAUCCCCACCACCACCGUACCAUUACAACUCUCCACCACCACCAGUAAAAUCUCCCCCACCUCCAGUCUACAUCUACGCUUCUCCCCCACCUCCUACCCAUUACUAGGCUCGUCAAACUCAGCAACAUUUCCACAUUAUUCAAGUAAGUUCCAACCCUCCAAUACUUUCAAUAUGCUCCAUAUCCAUUUCGAUAAAACUUUCCACUAAAAUCUCA